CCGGCUGAAAACUAGAAAUGCCUCCUGCGUUAUAUGUCUAUGUCCAUAUCUCUAUGCCUAUACUUAUAACUGUAUCUACAUAUCUAGAAUAUUAGCUUCAUGAGAGAAGGGAUCUUGUCUGUCUUAUUCACCACUGAAACUCCAGCACCUAGAAGAGUGUGAAAGGACUAUGAAGUGAUGGACAAAUUGCUCUGCACACUGGAUUUAAUUUAGUCAUGGGCUAGAUGAGGUGGAGGCCACACCCAUCACUUAAAACUUCAUUCCUCCAAGUGGUUCAACGGCUCUCCACUCUCAUUCAUUAUGUUUUGCUUUAUUUUUCAACUGGGCAUCAAUUCUUUAAGGAUAAAGGAGAAUAACUGUUACGGUUCCAGGGUAAAAUUCGUUUAAAAAUAAUUUACUGAAUGGGGACAGAAGUGAGGGAAGAGCUACUUCAGAGCGAAGACAAAAUUCCAGAUAAACUUGAUAUCUCUUAGGCAAUUCAAUGCUUCAAUUCAACAUUUUUUGAAUGCCUGUUAAGUGAUGGGGAUUUUUAGGCUGCUUACUUUUAAAACAGUUUAUGAUGAGGAUUUUUAGGCUGGUUACUUUUAAAACUAC
Molecule: long non-coding RNA, 594 nt
Filed under: Equus caballus (horse)
Lineage: Eukaryota; Metazoa; Chordata; Mammalia; Perissodactyla; Equidae
Description: lncRNA (ENSECAG00000050390.1)
Source: RNAcentral